Molecule: non-coding RNA, 96 nt
Organism: Mycena vitilis
Lineage: Eukaryota; Fungi; Basidiomycota; Agaricomycetes; Agaricales; Mycenaceae
Source: the annotation of a GenBank genome assembly
GGUCUGGUGGUGUAGAGGCAACACAUCCUUUCAACAUACGGUCCCAAGAAAAAGCGAUUUCCGAGGAAACACCCUGUUCGAUUCGGGGCCAGGCCA